CACAACACUGUAACUGACAAGUAACCUGUACGUCUAUGACGUUUUUUGUUUGAAUUGUUUACGUGUUCGCUAUGCGGGGGAAAUGAUCAAACAAGCGGAACUACGUAGCUAAUAACUGUUGUAACGGGGACAGUAUUGUAGCAACACACCUUUAGAGGGAAGGCAAUCCCGCGCUGUGUUAGCUAAGUUUUCAUGUCAUCAGGUGUAGUUCGUAAAAGUUGAAGCGUAUACGUUAUGAUGGUAACGUUAUAAUAAUUAAGGAUGAAGUGUCAGGAAUAAUAAGGGUGAAGUUUGAUUUCCUCCCUUCUGUAAUAAGCAGCCAAUGAGGUGAUAAUUCUGACUAAAACUACAGAAUAAAGCCGCCAGUUAAAAUCAAGGAACGGUUGUGCUCGUGGUUACUGAAGGGAGCUACAACACUAUGUGUGGAGAAAAAAAGGCACAGCACAACAACACCAAAACAGGGCCUGAACAGCUUGCUAUCAUCGGCGGAAAAAUGAAUUCCCAAGUUUAUUAAGACAUUUUGCAGGAGAAUGUAAGGCUAUCUGUCCACCAAUUGAAGCUCAACAGAAGUUGGGUGAUGCAACAGAACAACGACCUAAAACACAGACGUAAAUCAACAGCAGAAGAAAAUACGCCUUCUGGAGAGUCCUGACUUCAACCCGAUUGAGAUGCUGUGGCAUGACCUCGAGAGCAGUUCAUAGCAGACAUCCCGAGAGUAUUGUUGAACUGAAACAGUUUUGUAAAGAGGAAUGGUCCAAAAUUCUUCCUGACCAUUGUGCAGGUCUGAUACGCAACUCCAGAAAACGUUUGGUUGAGGUUAUUACUGCCAAUGGAGGGUCAACCAGUUAUUAAAUCCAGGGGCUCACAUACUUUUCCCACCCUGCACUGGGAAUGUUUACACGGUGUGUUCAAUAAAGACAUGAAAACGUA
This is a long non-coding RNA of Oncorhynchus nerka (sockeye salmon), 930 nucleotides long. RefSeq lists it as uncharacterized. The transcript is spliced from 2 exons. The record is from RefSeq and is a predicted model, not a curated record. NCBI's taxonomy places the organism in Eukaryota, Metazoa, Chordata, Actinopteri, Salmoniformes, Salmonidae.